GCGAAUAUAGUUUAGAGGUAAAACUUUACCUUGCCAAGGUAAAAUCAUGGGUUCAAUUCCCAUUAUUCGCU
Molecule: transfer RNA, 71 nt
Filed under: Partenskyella glossopodia
Lineage: Eukaryota; Cercozoa; Chlorarachniophyceae
Description: tRNA-Gly
Rfam family: tRNA
About the family: Transfer RNA (tRNA) molecules are approximately 80 nucleotides in length. Their secondary structure includes four short double-helical elements and three loops (D, anti-codon, and T loops).
Source: RNAcentral